RNAcentral lists this ribosomal RNA (460 nucleotides) under uncultured bacterium. Its description in RNAcentral is "partial 16S ribosomal RNA". It matches the Rfam family "Bacterial small subunit ribosomal RNA", at positions 338 to 795 of the family's 1533-position model. The record is from RNAcentral.
CCUACGGGGUGCAGCAGUGAGGAAUAUUGGUCAAUGGACGGAAGUCUGAACCAGCCAUGCCGCGUGCAGGAAGACGGCUCUAUGAGUUGUAAACUGCUUUUGUACAAGGGUAAACCUGAAUACGUGUAUUCAGCUGAAAGUACCGUACGAAUAAGGAUCGGCUAACUCCGUGCCAGCAGCCGCGGUAAUACGGAGGAUCCAAGCGUUAUCCGGAUUUAUUGGGUUUAAAGGGUGCGUAGGCGGUAGGAUAAGUUAGAGGUGAAAUGUCGGGGCUUAACUUGGGAAUUGCCUCUAAUACUGUGUAGCUAGAGAGUAGAUGCGGUAGGCGGAAUGUAUGGUGUAGCGGUGAAAUGCUUAGAGAUCAUACAGAACACCGAUUGCGAAGGCAGCUUACCAAGCUACAUCUGACGUUGAGGCACGAAAGCGUGGGGAGCAAACAGGAUUAGAUACCCGAGUAGUC